CCCCCCCCCGCCAUCGUGUUUGUGAACACACUCAGAGACAACGAUGUCUUUCUCCAGCUGAGCUCAACUCCGAAUGAGCAACCCAACCUGAAAAGACACCUACAUUUUUUAAACUUUCUUUCGAAUCCACCUGACUCUUGAGUUUCAGGAAAUCAAUGCUGACGGAGAAAAUCUGCAUCCACGUUGUGUGAUAAAACCAUGAAGCUGGAGGAGCUAGUUUAUAAUUCUGAACUCAUCCCAUCCUGGUGUGAGCUCCUUCCAUGAUCUGCACUCAUUUUAUUGAAGGGAGAGUAAGUUCAGAGGUCGUCAGCACCAGAAACUAGAGCAGUAACAGCAGCAACCAGACAAGGCAGCCUUCCUUUGACAGCAGAACUCGAGGGACUUGCUCAAAUCCAGGGAGGCACAGGUGUGCAGAGACGAAAUGGGAUGGUGAUGCAGCCUGUGGCUUGGGAGUCGGACAGACAAAGGAAGGUGAUGAUGGCAGGCGUGGAAGUUGCAGAGAAGGAGAAAGGAGAGCCAGAUUGUGGGCUGGAACAAAGACAAUGAGGAAGGAGGUCAAUUCGAGGCAGAUAACAGACCGAAGGGAGCUUCCCCAAGGCCUAGUGCAACGCUGGAGGAAAUACUAGCCAACUCGAGUCAUGGGUGCUGAGUACGCAAAUGGAUGGUGGUGGGGUGGCUGCCAGGGGUCACGAGCAUAAAGGAGGA
This 705-nucleotide long non-coding RNA is filed under the name Vulpes vulpes (red fox). RNAcentral's name for it is "lncRNA (ENSVVUG00000006674.1)". The record is from RNAcentral. Lineage: Eukaryota; Metazoa; Chordata; Mammalia; Carnivora; Canidae.